GACGAACGCUGGCGGCGUGCCUAAUACAUGCAAGUUGAGCGCUGAAGGUUGGUACUUGUACCAACUGGAUGAGCAGCGAACGGGUGAGUAACGCGUGGGGAAUCUGCCUUUGAGCGGGGGACAACAUUUGGAAACGAAUGCUAAUACCGCAUAAAAACUUUAAACACAAGUUUUAAGUUUGAAAGAUGCAAUUGCAUCACUCAAAGAUGAUCCCGCGUUGUAUUAGCUAGUUGGUGAGGCAAAGGCUCACCAAGGCGAUGAUACAUAGCCGACCUGAGAGGGUGAUCGGCCACAUUGGGACUGAGACAAGGCCCAAACUCCUUCGGGAGGCAGCCGUAGGGAAUCUUCGGCAAUGGACGAAAGUCUGACCGAGCAACGCCGCGUGAGUGAAGAAGGUUUUCGGAUCGUAAAACUCUGUUGGUAGAGAAGAACGUUGGUGAGAGUGGAAAGCUCAUCAAGUGACGGUAACUACCCAGAAAGGGACGGCUAACUACGUG
Molecule: ribosomal RNA, 497 nt
Filed under: uncultured bacterium
Lineage: Bacteria
Description: partial 16S ribosomal RNA
Rfam family: Bacterial small subunit ribosomal RNA
Source: RNAcentral